Molecule: ribosomal RNA, 200 nt
Filed under: uncultured bacterium
Lineage: Bacteria
Description: partial 16S ribosomal RNA
Rfam family: Bacterial small subunit ribosomal RNA
Source: RNAcentral
GACGAACGCUGGCGGCGUGCCUAACACAUGCAAGUCGAACGGGGUCCAUGAGAGCUUGCUCUCGGAAGACCUAGUGGCGUACGGGUGAGUAACACGUGAGAAACCUGCCUUGGAGUGGGGAAUAACUCGGGGAAACUCGAGCUAAUACCGCAUACCUUCCUUUGAUCGCAUGGUCAGCUGAAGAAAGAAUUUCGCUCUAA